UUCCGGUUGAUCCUGCCGGACCUGACUGCUAUCGGAUUGAUACUAAGCCAUGCGAGUCAUUGUAGCAAUACAAGGCAGACGGCUCAGUAACGCGUAGUCAACCUAACCUAUGGACGGGAAUAACCUCGGGAAACUGAGAAUAAUGCCCGAUAGAACACUAUACCUGGAAUGGUUUGUGUUCCAAAUGAUUUAUCGCCGUAGGAUGGGACUGCGGCCUAUCAGGUUGUUGGUGAGGCAAAGGCUCACCAAGCCUAUAACCGGUACGGGCCGUGAGAGCGGGAGCCCGGAGAUGGGCACUGAGAUAAGGGCCCAGGCCCUACGGGGCGCAGCAGUUGCGAAAACUCUGCAAUGCACGAAAGUGUGACAGGGCUACCCCGAGUGCCGUCCGCUGAGGGCGGCUUUUCCCUGGUGUAAGGAGCCGGGGGAAUAAGGAGAGGGCAAGUCUGGUGUCAGCCGCCGCGGUAAUACCAGCUCUCCGAGUGGUAGGGAUGUUUAUUGGGCUUGAAGCGUCCGUAGCUGGCCUGGCAAGUCUUCCGUUAAAUCCAACGAUUCAAUCGUUGGACUGCGGGAGGUACUGUUGGGCUAGGGGGCGGAAGAGGCCGACGGUAUUCUCGGGGUAGGGGUGAAAUCCUAUAAUCCCGGGAAGACCACCAGUGGCGAAGGCUGUCGGCUAGAACGAGCCCGACGGUGAGGGAUGAAAGCUGGGGGAGCGAACCGGAUUAGAUACCCGGGUAGUCCCAGCUGUAAACGAUGCAGGCUAGGUGUUUGGACGGCCACGUGCCGUUCUAGUGCCGCAGGGAAGCUGUUAAGCCUGCCGCCUGGGGAGUACGAUCGCAAGAUUGAAACUUAAAGGAAUUGGCGGGGGAGCACCACAAGGGGUGAAGCUUGCGGUUUAAUUGGAUUCAACGCCGGA
This 913-nucleotide ribosomal RNA is filed under the name uncultured archaeon. RNAcentral's name for it is "bacterial SSU rRNA". It matches the Rfam family "Archaeal small subunit ribosomal RNA", at positions 1 to 922 of the family's 1478-position model. The record is from RNAcentral.